This 167-nucleotide ribosomal RNA is filed under the name Cistanche deserticola. Its description in RNAcentral is "5.8S ribosomal RNA". It matches the Rfam family "5.8S ribosomal RNA". Rfam says of the family: 5.8S ribosomal RNA (5.8S rRNA) is a component of the large subunit of the eukaryotic ribosome. It is transcribed by RNA polymerase I as part of the 45S precursor that also contains 18S and 28S rRNA. Lineage: Eukaryota; Viridiplantae; Streptophyta; Magnoliopsida; Lamiales; Orobanchaceae. The record is from RNAcentral.
AAACGACUCUCGGCAACGGAUAUCUCGGCUCUCGCAUCGAUGAAGAACGUAGCGAAAUGCGAUACUUGGUGUGAAUUGCAGAAUCCCGUGAACCAUCGAGUCUUUGAACGCAAGUUGCGCCCGAAGCCUUUUGGCCAAGGGCACGUCUGCCUGGGCAUCACGCAUCG